CGUCCCCUACGGGGCGCAGCAGUGGGGGAUAUUGCACAAUGGGGGGAACCCUGAUGCAGCGACGCCGCGUGGGUGAAGGAGCGUUUCGGCGCGUAAAGCCCUAUCGGCAGGGAAGAAGAUGACGGUACCUGACCAAGAAGCCCCGGCUAACUACGUGCCAGCAGCCGCGGUAAUACGUAGGGGGCAAGCGUUAUCCGGAUUUACUGGGUGUAAAGGGGGCGCAGACGGCAAUGCAAUCCAGGAGUGAAAGCCCGGGGCCCAACCCCGGGACUGCUCUUGGAACUGCGUGGCUGGAGUGCAGGGGG
RNAcentral lists this ribosomal RNA (305 nucleotides) under uncultured bacterium. RNAcentral describes it as "bacterial SSU rRNA". It matches the Rfam family "Bacterial small subunit ribosomal RNA", at positions 333 to 655 of the family's 1533-position model. The record is from RNAcentral.